UCAGAUCCAACUAAUCUACAUAAACAAAGACUUUUCUCCUCCUCUUUUCUUCGAUCGUUCUUCUUUCUCUCUCUCUCUUUUCUCUAAACAUCUAAAACCCAACAACUGAAUCUUCGACUUGGUUUCGAAAUUUAAUGACGGAGAUCAAGAAUUUAAUCUAUUGUUUUUCUCUUCUUCGAUUAGGUAUGUCCACUUCCUAAAGUUGUGAUCGUUUUAUUUUGUAAUACGGAAUUCUAGGAUUCUACAAAAUUUUGGGGUUUCUUUUUGACUUGUGUUUAUGAAAUGGUGUCGAGGGAUUUGUUAUUCAAUGACAACAAUUUCAACAUUUAGUGUCGCGUAUAUGCAUUUGACGAUUACAUAAGACUUGAUUUUGGAUCUUAUUUAAAAUUUGCUUCAAUACCAUUAUGCAGUAUAUUUUGAAUAUUUGGCAGAAUCUUGAGUUCAAACAUAAUCAUAUCUAUGAAUAUCGAAUUUGAACUUUAUUUUGAUUUUAUUUAAACAUCUAUACAAACUGUUGGCAAGUUGAGUAAAAUCCUAAAAAAAAAAAAACCCAUUCAAAUUUUGGCUUACAAAUGAUUCUCUAAGGAGGUAAUUUAGAAGGUAUUUUGAGAUAAUUUUUCCUCAACUUGGGUGUUUUGAAUUUAGCAAAAUAGGGUGUGAAUUGUUAUAGUUAGGGUCACUCCUACUCCGUUCUAUUAUUUCGUAAUUAGUCUUCUUUCAGAUUGAAUUUCCAAAUAUGGCCACUUAAUAGUCAACUUUUACUAUUUCUUAAUUGUUCUUUUUUUUUGGCGGACAUGCGGAGUAAUAUGCAUGUAGAUCAUCAUUUCAUUGUGGAUUGUGAGAAGUUAGUUGGAGAUAUUUUCUAGAAUUACUUGCCUGUUGGGGAGAGCUGAAAGGAGAUGGUGGGUGUUACACGAAGAAAGAUUCUGCAGUAAUAUUGCGGCAAGUAAUAUGCUCUUCGGUUUGACUAUCAAAUGAACAAAAAAGUUUGUCACUUACCGCAGGUUUGGAAUUUAGGAAGCUGACCUAUAGGAGGCUACAACGAACUUUCGUCAAGGCUGUAAUAGUAAUUAUCACUCGAGACUUCUUCUAGCUCCAGCUACUAUGAUCGCUGAGACAAGGUUUAAAGUGUAGAUGGUCAGAGCUUAAUCUAUUUAGUCGCAAAAGCGUGUUUCAAUUGUUCUUUGAAUAAUUUAUGUUCUUUAUAACUUUUAUGUAUACCUGAGAAGAUAUUCAACAUCAAGUCUAUUAAAGUGAAAAAAAAUGUAUUUGCUUGGUUUGUAAUUCAGUUAUUCAGUAGGAAUCCCCAUUUCUAUCUUUGUAACAUGAAUAUAUCGAGAUUUAUAUAAUCUACAUCAAUCCGGUGAUUCCUCA
This is a long non-coding RNA of Papaver somniferum (opium poppy), 1374 nucleotides long. RefSeq lists it as uncharacterized. The record is from RefSeq and is a predicted model, not a curated record. The transcript has 3 exons. Lineage: Eukaryota; Viridiplantae; Streptophyta; Magnoliopsida; Ranunculales; Papaveraceae.